This 128-nucleotide ribosomal RNA is filed under the name uncultured eukaryote. RNAcentral's name for it is "partial small subunit ribosomal RNA". It matches the Rfam family "Eukaryotic small subunit ribosomal RNA", at positions 1651 to 1776 of the family's 1831-position model. The record is from RNAcentral.
CCCUGCCAUUUGUACACACCGCCCGUCGCUCCUACCGAUGAAUGGUCCGGUGAGGAUUCAGGAUGACCGCAGAUCAUGGCUUUGCCAUUCUGUUGUUUGUCAGAAUUUGUUCAAACCUUAUCAUUUAA